Potamilus streckersoni is the source of this 67-nucleotide non-coding RNA. Lineage: Eukaryota; Metazoa; Mollusca; Bivalvia; Unionida; Unionidae. The record is from the annotation of a GenBank genome assembly.
GUGGCCUGGUGGUUAAAGCAUCUGCCUCAGAGGCAGGAAGUUGCAGGUUCAAACCCUGGCCAAUUCA